UUUUCGCAAUGGGCGAAAGCCUGACGGAGCAACGCCGCGUGAGGGAGGAAGGUCUUUGGAUUGUAAACCUCUUUUCUCAAGGAAGAAGUUCUGACGGUACUUGAGGAAUCAGCCUCGGCUAACUCCGUGCCAGCAGCCGCGGUAAUACGGGGGAGGCAAGCGUUAUCCGGAAUUAUUGGGCGUAAAGCGUCCGCAGGUGGUCAGCCAAGUCUGCCGUCAAAUCAGGUUGCUUAACGACCUAAAGGCGGUGGAAACUGGCAGACUAGAGAGCAGUAGGGGUAGCAGGAAUUCCCAGUGUAGCGGUGAAAUGCGUAGAGAUUGGGAAGAACAUCGGUGGCGAAAGCGUGCUACUGGGCUGUAUCUGACACUCAGGGACGAAAGCUAGGGGAGCGAAAGGGAUUAGAUACCCCCUG
Molecule: ribosomal RNA, 413 nt
Filed under: uncultured cyanobacterium
Lineage: Bacteria; Bacillati; Cyanobacteriota
Description: bacterial SSU rRNA
Rfam family: Bacterial small subunit ribosomal RNA
Source: RNAcentral